GGGAGGAUUAUUUGAGCCCAGGAGGUCGAGGGUCUAGUGAGCUUGAUCGUGCCACUGCACUCCAGCCUGGGCGGCAGAGUAAGUUCAUGUCUCAAAAUAAAAAAGAGUUUCCAGCUGGGCGCGGUGGCUCACACCUGUAAUCUCAGCACUUUGGGAGGCAGAGGCAGGCGAAUCACGAGGUCAGGAGUUCGAGACCAGCCUGACCAACAUGGUGAAACCCUGUCUCUACUAAAAAUACAAAAGUUAGCCGGGCAUGGUGGCGCAUGCCUGUGAUCCCAGCUACUUAGGAGGCUGAGGCAGGGGAAUCGCUUGAAGCCGGGAGGUGGAGGUUGCAGUGAGCUGAGAUCACACCGCUACACUCCAGCCUGGGCGACAGAGCGAGACUCAAUCUCAAAAAUAAAGAGUUUCCAAUCACAUCCUGAGCAUCGUCUCUAGAGCACAUUUUCUUGGCAGUGCCAUAUAGUUUAUCCUUGCUCGAUAGUCAUUUUCUUAUUUUAGCAUCAUUUGCCGUAUGGGGAGGCUAAAACAUUUCAAAACCAUUAAUUCUGUCUCCUUUUUUUUUUAAAUCUUUCUCUCAGUUAAUGCUCUCCUCUCACAUUUUACUAUACCCAGCAGGAAGAAACCAGGCAGCAUCUUGAAUACUUUGUUUGGAAAAUCUCAUUAGCUAGGUCACCCGUUUAUUAUGUAUAUUCUGUCCUAUCCAUGUAACGUCAGGUAACAGCAGGGCUAAACUUUCUGCUGCUACUUAGUGAAAGUCUUCCUUCAAUUUCCAAUAACAACAUUCUUCUCACUUUCUUUUAAGCCCUCUUCAGCAAUGUCCUCAAAGUCCAAAGUCUAAGAACAGUGUGUUCAAAGCACUUUAGUGUCAUCAACACUCUCCUCAAACCCUGGUCCCAGAGCCAUGCCCACCUGUUAGGUUUUGCUACAGCAGCAUCCUCUCUCUGUACCAAAAUCUGUAUCAGUCCAAGAGCAGAGCCAUUAAUAUACAUGUGUGUGUGUGACACACAUAUACAUACAUAUAUAUGUGUGUAUAUAUAUAUUACCCAUACACCCAUACCUGUGGAUAAUCGUGGACUUGCUGCAGGGCUUUGCUCUUACACAGUUAAUUGUGUAAACUGAUUCGUCAGUUUCCAUAGGGCUGCCUGUUGUCUGCAUCCGACGCUGGAGCCUACUGUCCACAGGAGGUUUGGGAGGGACCUAAACCUGCGUCAGUUCUUGCUGCUUCUGGCCUUGGUGGUGUGGAGGUGCUGCAGAAGCUAGGGCCUCUCAUCAUGAAGAUGAGCCAGAUGCCUCCUUCGGGAGCCACAGGAUCCAGAGAGUCAAUGAAAGUAAAACUUCAGGACUGUCUGGAUUUAUUACGCCAGGGAGGAAGUUGAGCCCUGGAGACUGUCAGGUCGUACGACUGCAAUUCUUCUCAGAUUCACUCUCUUCCUCAUUGUUCUUGUUCUGUAAAUGACUAAGAGAGACCAGAGACCAGACCUCCCCACUUCCAAUCACUGGUUUUGUUGUAGAUGAACUGCCUCCUUUGCUGUCCGGUACCUAAUGUGGACCAGACGGUGCUCAAGACCCUAUCACUAGUACAACCUCAGUGUGGAAUGUUAAAUAUGCCUUGCCUGGAAGAAAAAGACCAACUUGACUAAUCAGAUCAUCAUAACUAUGCAUGAAGUCUUCCACAGAAAGAUGAUGAAAUUUUGUUACACUUCCCUAACCUUUGUCUAAAUAAGCAUUCCCAAACAUCUACACUUUGGAACACUGACUUCUGUUCUUUGAGAUGGGUGCUUCCCAGGUGGCCCAUCCUCAAACUUUUUGCUUGAAUAAACUCUCUAAACUAGAUUCUGUUCCUUUUGAUUAUUUUAGGUUGACAAGAAGAAGGCAGUAGUGGCAGUCCUGGCCAUGGUGGUGUUAACAGUGUAAGCUGUCAGACCCACAACACGUGUGAGCCACAACACAGUGGCAGC
This 1958-nucleotide long non-coding RNA is filed under the name Homo sapiens (human). RNAcentral's name for it is "HSALNT0217276". The record is from RNAcentral. Lineage: Eukaryota; Metazoa; Chordata; Mammalia; Primates; Hominidae.